UUUUCAAGUUCAUCACCUAAAGUAGGCUGCCUAUGGAACAUAUCUGGAGACACCUGAAUUAUUAAGAGUUGUCAAAAUUAUCCCAGGGUGAAGCUGCUGUUAUAUCACCACCGCUUUCCGUUAAGAAACACUUCUCUUCCAGUUCUACCUGAUACGGAAGAGUGUUGAUUUUAGGCCGAUUUAUGCAUCGGAUUGAAAUGUUGAAGAUACUACAGUAGACAACAAGUCGUCUAAAGGUUUUAGCAAUAAGCUCUAAUGAGCUGAAGAGAUCCAGUUUUAUCCCUGACCAGCAGAGGGAAAGUAGGUUAGUGGUCCACUUACAGCUCUUGGGAGCAAACAUCUGCUCCAUUUGAGUCUGGGAGGAGGAGUGGAAAAUAUGAAGUGUUCCUAGCGCACAUGAGGCCAGUGUAAGCACAGACAACGAACUCCUUGUGCUCCGUCAGCAUCUGGUCCUUGGAUGGCCUGUCUGCUGGAUUGCCAAGAGGACAGACAGGAAAAGACAUUUCCUCUGAAAGGAAGUCAAUGCCUGUGAAGCCAACUGAAUGCACUGAAGUAGAAUCAUAUAAAUACAUUCACAAAUUUUCAACUUUAGAGGUUGCACAAAUUAAAUGCAAACAAAAUGUAAAUUCUGGUGGUGAAAUGUUCCACAAUGAAGCCUGUCAACACUGCGAACUGGUUAAAGAUCUCGCCUCGGGAUAUGUAACACCCGUCUGUCUAUAUAGGCUUUGUGUUGUUUUACAUUUAAUCCCAUCAGGUUUCACAAACCUGGGUCACAAUUCUAGACACGGCAGAGCACAUGAUGUAACCGCCGUCUCUGGAUCUUUUUUGUUCUUUUGACAUGAGCAUUAGGCAAUAGCCUCGACUAUGAUAUACAACCUCAUUUCCAUUUUUUUUUUUUCAUAUUUGUGUUUGCCAAAUAUGUCAUGCUCUCUUGUGUAAAUUGAUGUUCUUGUUCCAACAAGUUCAAUUCAGUUCUAACAAAUAAUAAAAUAAAAAUUCAACUUUAGUUGUUGUAUAAAA
Long non-coding RNA from Carassius gibelio (silver crucian carp), 1020 nucleotides. RefSeq lists it as uncharacterized. The record is from RefSeq and is a predicted model, not a curated record. Lineage: Eukaryota; Metazoa; Chordata; Actinopteri; Cypriniformes; Cyprinidae. The transcript is spliced from 2 exons.